AUGGCUCGUGUAGGUUCAAAACUGUUAGUCUCUGUAGACUUACAGAAGAAACCAUGGGAGCAGGAGCUACCUCUUCACAACCGGUGGCAUCCAGAGAUACCACCGGUCGCCGAGGCUACAACCGGUGAACUUUUCAAAGUUGAGAUGAUAGAUUUCAGUGGAGGUGCUAUCACUAAUAAUCCCACUGCUGAUGAUGCCAAACAUGCUGAUCUCUCACAAUUUGUCCAUGGCACCAUCAACUCCAAGACUAGUUGUGCCAAUAGACUUGAAAAAGAAGCCAUGUGA
Molecule: long non-coding RNA, 285 nt
Filed under: Vicia faba (fava bean)
Lineage: Eukaryota; Viridiplantae; Streptophyta; Magnoliopsida; Fabales; Fabaceae
Source: RNAcentral